This 497-nucleotide ribosomal RNA is filed under the name uncultured bacterium. RNAcentral describes it as "partial 16S ribosomal RNA". It matches the Rfam family "Bacterial small subunit ribosomal RNA", at positions 28 to 507 of the family's 1533-position model. The record is from RNAcentral.
GAUGAACGCUGGCGGCGUGCCUAAUACAUGCAAGUCGAGCGAACAGAUGAGGAGCUUGCUCCUCUGACGUUAGCGGCGGACGGGUGAGUAACACGUGGAUAACCUACCUAUAAGACUGGGAUAACUUCGGGAAACCGGAGCUAAUACCGGAUAAUAUAUUGAACCGCAUGGUUCAAUAGUGAAAGACGGUUUUGCUGUCACUUAUAGAUGGAUCCGCGCCGCAUUAGCUAGAUGGUAAGGUAACGGCUUCCCAAGGCAACGAUGCGUAGCCGACCUGAGAGGGUGGUAGGCCACACUGGAACUGAGACACGGUCCAGACUACUACGGGAGGCAGCAGUAGGGAAUCGUCCGCAAUGGGCGAAAGCCUGACGGAGCAACGCCGCGUGAGUGAUGAAGGUCUUCGGAUCGUAAAACUCUGUUAUUAGGGAAGAACAAAUGUGUAAGUAACUAUGCACGUCUUGACGGUACCUAAUGAGAAAGCAACGGCUAACUACGUG